GACGAACGUUGGCGGCGCGCUUAAUGCAUGCAAGUCGAGGGAGAAGCGUUGGUUCCGUAAGGUUCCGACGUGGAAACCGGCGAACAGGUGCGUAACACGUGAGAAACCUGCCCCCCAGACCGGGAUAGCCCAGGGAAACUUGGAUUAAUACCGGAUACUCUCUCGGGACCGCAUGGUCCCUUGAGGAAAUGGUCCGCUGCUGGGGGAUGGUCUCGCGGCCUAUCAGGUUGUUGGUGAGGUAACGGCUCACCAAGCCGAAGACGGGUAGCUGGUCUGAGAGGACGAUCAGCCACACUGGAACUGAGACACGGUCCAGACUCCUACGGGAGGCAGCAGCAGGGAAUAUUGCACAAUGGGCGAAAGCCUGAUGCAGCGACGCCGCGUGCGGGAUGAAGGCCUUCGGGUUGUAAACCGCUUUCAGGAGGGAAGAAACUGACGGUACCUCCAGAAGAAGCUCCGGCCAACUACGUGCCAGCAGCCGCGGUAAUACGUAGGGAGCGAACGUUGUCCGGAAUUAUUGGGCGUAAAGGGCUCGUAGGCGGUUCAACAAGUCGGUCGUGAAAGCCCGGGGCUCAACCCCGGGACGCCGGUCGAAACUGUUGUGACUCGAGUUCGGUAGAGGUGAGUGGAAUUCUCAGUGUAGCGGUGGAAUGCGCAGAUAUUGAGAGGAACACCAUUAGCGAAGGCGGCCCACUGGGCCGAUACUG
This 707-nucleotide ribosomal RNA is filed under the name uncultured bacterium. RNAcentral describes it as "bacterial SSU rRNA". It matches the Rfam family "Bacterial small subunit ribosomal RNA", at positions 28 to 742 of the family's 1533-position model. The record is from RNAcentral.